GAUGAACGCUAGCUACAGGCUUAACACACGCAAGUCGAGGGGUAACGAGAGGAAAGCUUGCUUUCCUUGUCGACGACCGGCGCACGGGUGAGUAACGCGUACCCAACCUGCCCCCAACUAGGGAAUAACCUUGCGAAAGUAAGACUAAUACCCUAUAAUUUCCUCAGAUGUCAUCUGACGAGGAAUAAAGAUUUAUCGGUUGUGGAUGGGGAUGCGUCUGAUUAGCUUGUUGGCGGGGUAACGGCCCACCAAGGCAACGAUCAGUAGGGGUUCUGAGGGGAAGGUCCCCCACAUUGGAACUGAGACACGGUCCAAACUCCUACGGGAGGCAGCAGUGAGGAAUAUUGGUCAAUGGGCGGAAGCCUGAACCAGCCAAGUAGCGUGCAGGAUGACGGCCCUAUGGGUUGUAAACUGCUUUUAUACAGGAAUAAAGUUAGCCACGUGUGGUUAUUUGUAGGUACUGUAUGAAUAAGGACCGGCUAAUUCCGUGCCAGCCGCCGCCGUAA
RNAcentral lists this ribosomal RNA (506 nucleotides) under uncultured bacterium. Its description in RNAcentral is "partial 16S ribosomal RNA". It matches the Rfam family "Bacterial small subunit ribosomal RNA", at positions 28 to 523 of the family's 1533-position model. The record is from RNAcentral.